This 468-nucleotide ribosomal RNA is filed under the name uncultured bacterium. RNAcentral describes it as "partial 16S ribosomal RNA". It matches the Rfam family "Bacterial small subunit ribosomal RNA", at positions 28 to 507 of the family's 1533-position model. The record is from RNAcentral.
GAUGAACGCUGGCGGCGUGCUUAACACAUGCAAGUCGAACGGAAAGGCCCAAGCUUGCUUGGGUCCUCGAGUGGCGAACGGGUGAGUAACACGUGGGUGAUCUGCCCUGCACUUCGGGAUAAGCCUGGGAAACUGGGUCUAAUACUGGAUAGGACCACUUCUUGGAUGGUGUGGUGGAAAGUUUUUUCGGUGUGGGAUGAGCUCGCGGCCUAUCAGCUUGUUGGUGGGGUAAUGGCCUACCAAGGCGUCGACGGGUAGCCGGCCUGAGAGGGUGUACGGCCACAUUGGGACUGAGAUACGGCCCAGACUCCUACGGGAGGCAGCAGUGGGGAAUAUUGCACAAUGGGCGCAAGCCUGAUGCAGCGACGCCGCGUGGGGGAUGACGGCCUUCGGGUUGUAAACUCCUUUCGCUAGGGACGAAGCGUUUUUGUGACGGUACCUGGAGAAGAAGCACCGGCUAACUACGUG